AUUUGAUUAAUGUGGAUAGUUAUGGGUAAAAUACGCAAAUAUUUCAAAAUAAGCAAGUGGUUAUAAAAUAUUCAUUGUUGUCGGGGAAUAUUCGUUUAGUCGUGGAAUAUUCGUACUGUCGGGGAAUAUUCGUACGACAGCGCAGCCAUGUGUGGGCCCCAUAACGGAAAGCGAUUGGAUGAAAAAAACGACAAAUAUAAGUUGUUUAAAAAUAACGGCGUAGUUGUUACCGUUAAUACUGUUAAAAUACUCGGUGGUUAAAACACAGUAGCACACGGU
This 279-nucleotide long non-coding RNA is filed under the name Panax ginseng (ginseng). Its description in RNAcentral is "long non-coding RNA (PGIN_LNC003951)". The record is from RNAcentral. Lineage: Eukaryota; Viridiplantae; Streptophyta; Magnoliopsida; Apiales; Araliaceae.